UAGUCCACGCCGUAAACGAUGUCAACUAGCCGUUGGGUUCAUUAAAGGAUUCAGUGGUGCAGCUAACGCAUUAAGUUGACCGCCUGGGGAGUACGCGCGCAAGCGUAAAACUCAAAGGAAUUGACGGGGGCCCGCACAAGCGGUGGAGCAUGUUGUUUAAUUCGAAGCAACGCGCAGAACCUUACCUGGAUUUGACAUCUCGGGAAUCUCUCGGAAACGAGAGAGUGCCUUCGGGAACCCGAUGACAGGUGCUGCAUGGCUGUCGUCAGCUCGUGUCGUGAGGUGUUGGGUUAAGUCCCGCAACGAGCGCAACCCUCAUCCUUAGUUGCCAUCAUUUAGUUGGGCACUUUAAGGAACUGCCGGUGAUAAGCCGGAGGAAGGUGGGGAUGACGUCAAGUCCUCAUGGGCCCUUANAGGCUGGGGCUACACACGUGCUACAAUGGUAUCUACAGUGAGCAGCGAUCCCG
This 467-nucleotide ribosomal RNA is filed under the name uncultured bacterium. RNAcentral describes it as "bacterial SSU rRNA". It matches the Rfam family "Bacterial small subunit ribosomal RNA", at positions 791 to 1257 of the family's 1533-position model. The record is from RNAcentral.